Molecule: small nuclear RNA, 108 nt
Filed under: Procavia capensis (Cape rock hyrax)
Lineage: Eukaryota; Metazoa; Chordata; Mammalia; Hyracoidea; Procaviidae
Source: RNAcentral
GUACUUGGCUUUCAGCAGCGCACACACUAAAACGGGAACAAUACAGAGAAGAAUAGCACGGCCCUUGCACAAGAUGACAUGCAUAUUCUGAACUGUUCCCAUAUUUUU